Molecule: long non-coding RNA, 668 nt
Filed under: Theobroma cacao (cacao)
Lineage: Eukaryota; Viridiplantae; Streptophyta; Magnoliopsida; Malvales; Malvaceae
Description: long non-coding RNA (TCAC_LNC005593)
Source: RNAcentral
AAAAUUUGAAUUGAGCACUAGAAGACAGAUUAACAGCCAGAACUGCCUCCAAACUAUUUUUAACGGUCAAAAACUGCUUAACACUCAUCGGAGCUGAUUUCUCAAGUAUAAAAGGGACUUCCAACGACUAGAAAAUGGAUCAAAGGCUUCUAAGAACAAAAAGAGCUAAAAAACCAGCAAAAACUCUCUGCAUUCUUACUGCACUUCACUCUUAUCUUUGUAUUUGACAUAAGUACUUCACUUUGUACCACUUAGAUCAAGUCAGUCAUCAUAGGUAUUGCAACGACCUCUCCCCGAUCGCUGCUGGAGUUCAAGACUUCCGAAAAAGACCCGUCAAGUCUUGAACAAGCCUGUCUAGAAUUUGCUCGUUAAUCCACUACAUUCAAUCACCAUGUAAUGUUGAUACUUUCAUACACUAAAUUGAACCAUAAAUAUAAAAUUCAAUACAAACUUUUUUCCUUUUAUUCAUAAGUAUAUGCAUUAAAAUCUAUUAUCUCCAUAUUAAUGCUUAUAUAAAAUUUUAGAAUUCGUUUACAACUUAAUAAAUAAAAUGUUAUGACUUGACCUCUAACAGCGAAAUGACUUGAGAUAAAAUACCAGGAGAUGCCAUUACCUAUUCACGGUGGUCCGAACGCGUCACUGACUACACGCUAGGCUGAUCCCUAUCU